This 638-nucleotide ribosomal RNA is filed under the name uncultured Actinomycetes bacterium. RNAcentral's name for it is "bacterial SSU rRNA". It matches the Rfam family "Bacterial small subunit ribosomal RNA", at positions 232 to 885 of the family's 1533-position model. The record is from RNAcentral. Lineage: Bacteria; Bacillati; Actinomycetota; Actinomycetes.
CGCGGCCUAUCAGCUUGUUGGUGGGGUAAUGGCCUACCAAGGCGACGACGGGUAGCCGGCCUGAGAGGGCGACCGGCCACACUGGGACUGAGACACGGCCCAGACUCCUACGAGAGGCAGCAGUGGGGAAUAUUGCACAAUGGGCGCAAGCCUGAUGCAGCGACGCCGCGUGAGGGAUGACGGCCUUCGGGUUGUAAACCUCUUUCACCAGGGGCGAAUUUAGACGGUACCUGGAGAAGAAGCACCGGCCAACUACGUGCCAGCAGCCGCGGUAAUACGUAGGGUGCGAGCGUUGUCCGGAAUUACUGGGCGUAAAGAGCUCGUAGGCGGUUUGUCGCGUCGUUCGUGAAAACUUGAUGCUUAACAUCAAGCGUGCGGGCGAUACGGGCAGACUUGAGUACUACAGGGGAGACUGGAAUUCCUGGUGUAGCGGUGAAAUGCGCAGAUAUCAGGAGGAACACCGGUGGCGAAGGCGGGUCUCUGGGUAGUAACUGACGCUGAGGAGCGAAAGCGUGGGUAGCGAACAGGAUUAGAUACCCUGGUAGUCCACGCCGUAAACGGUGGGUACUAGGUGUGGGUUCCUUUCACGGGAUCCGUGCCGUAGCUAACGCAUUAAGUACCCCGCCUGGGGAGUACGG